GGCGACCGCUCCACGGUCGGAAUUCAGGAAGGGCGCUCCUGUCCUGAGCAGUGCCGCGCUGCUGCUGGGAAAGCCGGUGCUGUGCUAGCGGCCGCUGUGUGCUCUGUCCCUUCCCCAGCCCGUAGGGGAGACGCAGACUCUCGGGUCCCGAAGCCCGUAGUUGUCGGCUCGCACGUUGCCGUGCGGUGGUCGAACGGGAGGUCCGGAUGGAGUGAGAAGAAUCCCGACGCCGUGCUGGAGUCACACGGGUCGGCUGGGUGCCGUGGUGGUCCUUUGCUACGCAAGGACCUUAUAAGGUUUCCCCACCGAGGGGCCCCUGUAGCUUGGCAUUCUCACUGCAUUUGGACUCUGUGUACUUAGUUGGAGAAAGGGUCAGGAUUUCAUACUGAGCUUUGCUUCCAGAUUAUAUGCAUUUCUUGAAAACAGCUCAGUACAUACUAAGAAGAGGCCUAGCGUGCAUCCAUCACCACUGAGCUAUAAACCAUGAAAGAAGUUGGAAACGGCAGCUUUGACAAAAAACUUUUCUCUUGUGGGUAUUACUAUCAAAAAUAGGAGUGAUAUGCUCAUCUUCAGAUGUGCUUUCCAAGGUGGCAUGCAGUCCAGAGGGAUCUUCAGCCAUCUCUAGUUGGAUCAGCUCAUCCAGACCUGCUAAGAAAAAGAACACCUUGUCUGAGAAACUUUCACAAAC
Long non-coding RNA from Gallus gallus (chicken), 688 nucleotides. RefSeq lists it as uncharacterized. The transcript is spliced from 5 exons. NCBI's taxonomy places the organism in Eukaryota, Metazoa, Chordata, Aves, Galliformes, Phasianidae. The record is from RefSeq and is a predicted model, not a curated record.